This 506-nucleotide ribosomal RNA is filed under the name uncultured bacterium. RNAcentral's name for it is "partial 16S ribosomal RNA". It matches the Rfam family "Bacterial small subunit ribosomal RNA", at positions 30 to 523 of the family's 1533-position model. The record is from RNAcentral.
AUUGAACGCUGGCGGCAGGCUUAACACAUGCAAGUCGAGCGGUAACAGAGAGAAGCUUGCUUCUCUGCUGACGAGCGGCGGACGGGUGAGUAAUGCCUAGGAAUCUGCCUAGUAGUGGGGGAUAACUUGCCGAAAGGUAAGCUAAUACCGCAUACGUCCUACGGGAGAAAGGAGGGGACCUUCGGGCCUUUCGCUAUUAGAUGAGCCUAGGUCGGAUUAGUUAGUUGGUGAGGUAAUGGCUCACCAAGAGCGCGAUCCGUAACUGGUCUGAGGGGAUGAUCAGUCACACUGGAGCUGAGACACGGUCCAGACUCCUACGGGAGGCAGCAGUGGGGAAUAUUGGACAAUGGGGGGAACCCUGAUCCAGCCAUGCCGCGUGUGUGAAGAAGGUCUUAGGGUUGUAAAGCACUUUAAGUUGGGAGGAAGAGCAGUUAACUAAUAUUUGACUGUUUUGACGUUACCGACAGAAUAAGCACCGGCUAACUUCGUGCCAGCCGCCGCGGUAA